GGCCGGGGGGGUGCUAUACAUGCAGUCGAGCGAACUGAUUAGAAGCUUGCUUCUAUGACGUUAGCGGCGGACGGGUGAGUAACACGUGGGCAACCUGCCUGUAAGACUGGGAUAACUUCGGGAAACCGAAGCUAAUACCGGAUAGGAUCUUCUCCUUCAUGGGAGAUGAUUGAAAGAUGGUUUCGGCUAUCACUUACAGAUGGGCCCGCGGUGCAUUAGCUAGUUGGUGAGGUAACGGCUCACCAAGGCAACGAUGCAUAGCCGACCUGAGAGGGUGAUCGGCCACACUGGGACUGAGACACGGCCCAGACUCCUACGGGAGGCAGCAGUAGGGAAUCUUCCGCAAUGGACGAAAGUCUGACGGAGCAACGCCGCGUGAGUGAUGAAGGCUUUCGGGUCGUAAAACUCUGUUGUUAGGGAAGAACAAGUACGAGAGUAACUGCUCGUACCUUGACGGUACCUAACCAGAAAGCCACGGCUAACUACGUGCCAGCAGCCGCGGUAAUACGUAGGUGGCAAGCGUUAUCCGGAAUUAUUGGGCGUAAAGCGCGCGCAGGCGGUUUCUUAAGUCUGAUGUGAAAGCCCACGGCUCAACCGUGGAGGGUCAUUGGAAACUGGGGAACUUGAGUGCAGAAGAGAAAAGCGGAAUUCCACGUGUAGCGGUGAAAUGCGUAGAGAUGUGGAGGAACACCAGUGGCGAAGGCGGCUUUUUGGUCUGU
Molecule: ribosomal RNA, 719 nt
Filed under: bacterium
Lineage: Bacteria
Description: bacterial SSU rRNA
Rfam family: Bacterial small subunit ribosomal RNA
Source: RNAcentral